UGUGACCGAGUCUCAGGAUUGCUCCAGCUUUGUUGGGCUGUUGGUUCUACCCAUUAAAAACCCUAUCCUGAUGCUGCUUAACUUGGAGAUAAUCAGAGCCCAAGAUGGUUUGGAAGGGCAGGUGCAUGACAUCUGACC
Mastomys coucha (southern multimammate mouse) is the source of this 138-nucleotide long non-coding RNA. RefSeq lists it as uncharacterized. The transcript is spliced from 3 exons. The record is from RefSeq and is a predicted model, not a curated record. Lineage: Eukaryota; Metazoa; Chordata; Mammalia; Rodentia; Muridae.